GGGUUGUGAGGUUAAGCGACUAAGCGUACACGGUGGAUGCCUAGGCAGUCAGAGGCGAUGAAGGGCGUGCUAAUCUGCGAAAAGCGUCGGUAAGGUGAUAUGAACCGUUACAACCGACGAUACCCGAAUGGGGAAACCCAGUGUGUUUCGACACAUUAUCAUUACAUGAAUACAUAGUGU
RNAcentral lists this ribosomal RNA (180 nucleotides) under Rahnella variigena. Its description in RNAcentral is "partial 23S ribosomal RNA". It matches the Rfam family "Bacterial large subunit ribosomal RNA", at positions 1 to 172 of the family's 2925-position model. The record is from RNAcentral. Lineage: Bacteria; Pseudomonadati; Pseudomonadota; Gammaproteobacteria; Enterobacterales; Yersiniaceae.